Halichondria panicea is the source of this 1043-nucleotide long non-coding RNA. RefSeq lists it as uncharacterized. Lineage: Eukaryota; Metazoa; Porifera; Demospongiae; Suberitida; Halichondriidae. The record is from RefSeq and is a predicted model, not a curated record. The transcript has 2 exons.
AAGUUAAUGUUUAAUGGUUAGGGCCGGAAACUAUAUGCAGGCUAAAAAACAAAAGGUUUGCUUAGUAUUUGUAAACUGCAAAUGGCCAGCAACGUGACGCAUUUGUACGUUGUGAAAUAAACGUGGCACGUGGGCCCCACUAAUUUGCCUCAUGUAACAGAAAGAAAGAUAAACCAAGUUUCUAUUCUAUUCAAUGAAGUUUCUCCAGAAAAGUAUACUACUUCAAUACGUGUUAGGAUCAAGUUUAUUUUAUGUUUGAACCUUCUGAAGCCGAUACAUUUGCUAGCAUGCUGGAAAGACUAAUAGCCGAAAAUUCUCUCACAGCCAACCAGCUUGCUCUACAUGGGAGUCAAAGGACACUGUCAGUGAUGUAACUGCUCAACUUGGCUUUGCAAUGCUGUCAACUUAAUGGAAGAUUUGUUCAGUAUGUGUUCCAUCCUAACAAGAAAGCAGUAUCUAUGGACUUUCUGUUGUUGUAAGAGAGCAAAGACUACUGCGUGUAGGACAGUGACAAAUCAGAAAGGCCAGAAUAUCAACAUAGAGCUACGAUGGAAUAGUGGCCUCCCAGAGUCUCUGGUUGAUUCAACAAACUGCUGGGCUGAGGUCACUAUAUUUUUGGGGAUACCCUGCAGUAGAGAGGUACUUCAAUACCGAAAGGUUUCAAGGCACUAAUUUUCAAAGCAAUACCUCGCAAGCCAAAACUUACUGAGUACGCUGAAGAAAAGAAGACAGAAGAAUACCGAAGAAUACCCCUCCUCUCUACACCCCUACACAUCACCGCCCUCGUAAAUGUUAUUGGCUGUUCUGGCUAUAUAUACACUCUUGUAUGCCUCACCAGCUUCUCUCCAUCUAAGACUGUCUGAUUAGAGUGCUAAACUAAUCAUAAUUAUAGCUGUAAUAAUCAUUUUUAUCGUGUAAGUUUUUGUUAAUGUUGUUCGGUUUGAUCCCACUCGUUUUACACUUAGAAAGCAACUGGCAGUGCUGUGGAGUGUUUUGCUGUCUCCAAGUGUAUGUAAUUAUACUUAAUGAAUUGGAAAUUGAAA